UACGGAGGGUGCAAGCGUUAAUCGGAAUUACUGGGCGUAAAGCGCACGUAGGUGGUUUGUUAAGUCAGCUGUGAAAUCCCCGGGCUCAACCUGGGCACUGCAGUUGAAACUGGCAAGCUAGAGUAGGGUAGAGGGGUGUGGAAUUCCAGGUGUAGCGGUGAAAUGCGUAGAUAUCAGGAGGAAUACCGGUGGCGAAAGCGACUCUCUGGACGGCAACUGACGCUGAGGCACGAAAGCGUGGGGAGCAAACAGG
This 253-nucleotide ribosomal RNA is filed under the name uncultured prokaryote. RNAcentral describes it as "partial 16S ribosomal RNA". It matches the Rfam family "Bacterial small subunit ribosomal RNA", at positions 524 to 776 of the family's 1533-position model. The record is from RNAcentral.